CAGCCAGAAGGAACUCUAUAUAAUAUGAAGUUUAAGCAUAACAAACUAAUAAAAACCCAUAAAUAUAACAAACUUUUCUAUUUUAUACUAUAUGACACCAAAUAUAAUAUAAUAAAAAGGGAAAACUUUAAAUACUCCCCUUGUGGUUUCACUCUUUCUCACUUUAGUACGCUGCGGUUUAAAGUGUAUCAAGUUAGUACCUUGUGGUUUCGCACUUUCUCACUUUAGUACCCUGUGGUUUAAAGUGUAUCAAGUUAGUACCCUGUGGUUUCGCACUUUCUCACUUUAGUACCCUGUGGUUUAAAGUGUAUCAAGUUAGUACCUUGUGGUUUCGCACUUUCUCACUUUAGUACUCUAUGGUUUUGCACUUUCUCACUUUAGUACCCUGUUGUUUAAAAAUCACAGGGUACUAACUUGAUACAAAAAUAAAUCCACAGGGUACUAGCUUGAUACAAAAAUAAAACCACAUAGUACUAACUUGAUACACUUUAAACCACAGGGUACUAAAGUGAGAAAGUGCGAAACCACAUGGUACUAACUUGAUACACUUUAAACCACAUGGUAGUAAAAUAAAAACGUGCGAAACCAUGCGGGGUUUUGAAGUUUUCCCUAAUAAAAAGUCAUAAAUCUCUAUUUUUUUGUGAAAAAAAAGAAAUCUCAUACAUCUUGAACUUCAGAUCCGUUGAUAGGGCCGCGAGGAAUUAACGAAGGCUUUUGAGGCCGCUGAGUGAGAUCGAGAUGCGUGGGCUCAACUUGCUCCAUAUAUUGCGAGGGUGCGAAUGUCAAAUAAGAUCAAAUGCAUGGUCUCGACUUCCUCCAGAGCUUGGUGGUUGACUGCUAUGGUGCGGCCGCUCGUCGACUGAGAUCGAGAUGGAUAGGGAGGAGGGUUCGUAGAAAAGAAGAGAGUGGGAAGGAGAAAAUAACAAAGAAGGGGACAGAGAAGGGAAAGUAACUUUUUCUUUUUUUACUUAAGAGUAACGGCGAUGCUUCUCUAUCUC
This 998-nucleotide long non-coding RNA is filed under the name Ananas comosus (pineapple). RNAcentral's name for it is "long non-coding RNA (ACOM_LNC032652)". Lineage: Eukaryota; Viridiplantae; Streptophyta; Magnoliopsida; Poales; Bromeliaceae. The record is from RNAcentral.